Molecule: ribosomal RNA, 253 nt
Filed under: uncultured bacterium
Lineage: Bacteria
Description: partial 16S ribosomal RNA
Rfam family: Bacterial small subunit ribosomal RNA
Source: RNAcentral
UACGUAGGGUGCGAGCGUUAAUCGGAAUUACUGGGCGUAAAGCGUGCGCAGGCGGCUUUGCAAGACAGAUGUGAAAUCCCCGGGCUCAACCUGGGAACUGCAUUUGUGACUGCAAGGCUAGAGUACGGCAGAGGGGGAUGGAAUUCCGCGUGUAGCAGUGAAAUGCGUAGAGAUGUGGAGGAACACCGAUGGCGAAGGCAGCCCCCUGGGCCAAUACUGACGCUCAUGCACGAAAGCGUGGGGAGCAAACAGG